GACGAACGCUGGCGGCGUGCUUAAUACAUGCAAGUCAACUUGACUUUAGAUAGCAAUAUCGAAAGUAGGGUGGCGCACGGGUGCGUAACGCGUAGGUAAUCUGCCCUGAGGUCUGACAUAACCCGUCGAAAGGCGGGCUAACAUCAGAUGAUAUAUAGUCACGACAUCGUGGAAAUAUCAAAUCUUCGGAGCCUUGGGAUGAGCCUGCGUCUGAUUAGGUAGUUGGCGGAGUAAUAGCCCACCAAGCCUACGAUCAGUAGCUGGUCUGAGAGGAUGAUCAGCCACACUGGAACUGAGACACGGUCCAGACUCCUACGGGAGGCAGCAGUAAGGAAUAUUGCUCAAUGAGGGGAAACCCUGAAGCAGCAACGCCGCGUGAAGGAUGAAAUACUUUUGUAUGUAAACUUCUGUAAGAUGGGAAAAAUAUUCUCCUUGGGAGAAUUGAUUGUACCAUCAGAGUAAGCCCCGGCUAACUACGUG
This 480-nucleotide ribosomal RNA is filed under the name uncultured bacterium. RNAcentral's name for it is "bacterial SSU rRNA". It matches the Rfam family "Bacterial small subunit ribosomal RNA", at positions 28 to 507 of the family's 1533-position model. The record is from RNAcentral.